Teratosphaeria nubilosa is the source of this 95-nucleotide non-coding RNA. Lineage: Eukaryota; Fungi; Ascomycota; Dothideomycetes; Mycosphaerellales; Teratosphaeriaceae. The record is from the annotation of a GenBank genome assembly.
UCCCCCGUGGCGCAAUUGGCUAGCGCGUUCGACUGUUACAAGUCAAAUUCAAGCAGAUAAUCGGGAGGUUGAUAGUUCGAUCCUAUCCGGGGGAG